UUUCUGGUGGGUAUAGCUGUGGGGAAACACCCGUUCCCAUUCCGAAUACGGUAGUAAAGUCUACAGCGUCGAGAAUACUUGCCUGGUAACGGGCUGGAAAGGUAGAUACUGCCAGAUCU
RNAcentral lists this ribosomal RNA (119 nucleotides) under candidate division TM6 bacterium GW2011_GWF2_30_66. The record is from RNAcentral.